CCGACACGUCCAACGUCCAACGUAACAAGUCCACCGGCGACAGCAAGCGCCUCUCCGGCAACCGCCACAAGCGCUCCCGCGACGAUUCGCGCGAGGAUCGUAGCUCUAAGAAGCAAAAGAUAUAAGAAGUUAAACUGUCUCAAGUAGCGGAGUUAAACGGGUCUCAAUCCAACGACUCGCGUCUUAAUUAAUUUUACUGUUAGUUUACCGUGUCCGUCUGUAUGUUCAAAAUCAGGUUGCCUGUUUGUAUGUAUGUAGAUUAAUUCGAUUCCAUUACUUUAAUUUAUAAAAACACUUGAAAUAAAUGUAAAAUUUUAUUA
This is a long non-coding RNA of Cydia splendana, 320 nucleotides long. RefSeq lists it as uncharacterized. The transcript is spliced from 2 exons. The record is from RefSeq and is a predicted model, not a curated record. NCBI's taxonomy places the organism in Eukaryota, Metazoa, Arthropoda, Insecta, Lepidoptera, Tortricidae.